This 208-nucleotide long non-coding RNA is filed under the name Lathyrus oleraceus (garden pea). RNAcentral's name for it is "Pisum sativum (pea) long non-coding RNA (PSAT_LNC039503)". Lineage: Eukaryota; Viridiplantae; Streptophyta; Magnoliopsida; Fabales; Fabaceae. The record is from RNAcentral.
AUUAACCCAGUAACCGGUUGUGGAUAAUCGUCCAUGCGAGUAUAUUAUCUACGUUCUGACGGUAAUAGAUAGUAUAUCUCAUGCACUCUCGGGUCUGAAGCCUUUUGUUCUUCCCCAGUUGAGUAAGAUUCGUAUCCCCUUUGUGGAGUCGAAUAUCCAUCAUGUAAUCGAGUUUGCUUUUAGCCCUCUUUUGGAUGAUGAGUGUUUU